GGGUUAUGGUUAGGGUUAGGGUUGGAGCUAGGGUUAGGGUUAGGGUUAGGGUUGGAGUUAGGGUUAGUGUUGGAGCUAGGGUUAGGGUUGGGCUUGGAGCUAGGACUUUUCUGAGUGCAAUGAACCAACUCCCGAGUCUCUAGGACGUUCCUAAAAAAAUUUGAUUUUUUCCCAUAGGAAUGCAUGGGUUAGGGUUAGGGUUAGGGUUGGAGCUAGGGUUAGGGUUAGGGUUAGGGUUGGAGUUAGGGUUAGUGUUGGAGCUAGGGUUAGGGUUGGGCUUGGAGCUAGGAUUUUUCUGAGUGCACUGAACCAACUCCCGAGUCUCUAGGACAUUCCUAAAAAAAUUUGAUUUUUUCCCAUAGGAAUGCAUGGGUUAGGGUUAGGGUUAGGGUUGGAGCUAGGGUUAGGGUUAGGGUUAGGGUUGGAGUUAGGGUUAGUGUUGGAGCUAGGGUUAGGGUUGGGCUUGGAGCUAGGAUUUUUCUGAGUGCACUGAACCAACUCCCGAGUCUCUAGGACAUUCCUAAAAAAAUUUGAUUUUUUCCCAUAGGAAUGCAUGGGUUAGGGUUAUGGUUAGGGUUAGGGUUGGAGCUAGGGUUAGGGUUAGGGUUAGGGUUGGAGUUAGGGUUAGUGUUGGAGCUAGGGUUAGGGUUGGGCUUGGAGCUAGGACUUUUCUGAGUGCAAUGAACCAACUCCCGAGUCUCUUGGACGUUCCCUAAAAAAUUUGAUUUUUUCCCAUAGGAAUGCAUGGGUUAGGGUUAGGGUUAGGGUUGGAGCUAGGGUUAGGGUUAGGGUUAGGGUUGGAGUUAGGGUUAGUGUUGGAGCUAGGGUUAGGGUUGGGCUUGGAGCUAGGAUUUUUCUGAGUGCACUGAACCAACUCCCGAGUCUCUAGGACAUUCCUAAAAAAAUUUGAUUUUUUCCCAUAGGAAUGCAUGGGUUAGGGUUAUGGUUAGGGUUGGAGCUAGGGUUAGGGUUAGGGUUAGGGUUGGAGUUAGGGUUAGUGUUGGAGCUAGGGUUAGGGUUGGGCUUGGAGCUAGGAUUUUUCUGAGUGCAAUGAACCAACUCCCGAGUCUCUAGGACAUUCCUAAAAAAAUUUGAUUUUUUCCCAUAGGAAUGCAUGGGUUAGGGUUAGGGUUAGGGUUGGAGCUAGGGUUAGGGUUAGGGUUAGGGUUGGAGUUAGGGUUAGUGUUGGAGCUAGGGUUAGGGUUGGGCUUGGAGCUAGGAUUUUUCUGAGUGCACUGAACCAACUCCCGAGUCUCUAGGACAUUCCUAAAAAAAUUUGAUUUUUUCCCAUAGGAAUGCAUGGGUUAGGGUUAUGGUUAGGGUUAGGGUUGGAGCUAGGGUUAGGGUUAGGGUUAGGGUUGGAGUUAGGGUUAGUGUUGGAGCUAGGGUUAGGGUUGGGCUUGGAGCUAGGACUUUUCUGAGUGCAAUGAACCAACUCCCGAGUCUCUUGGACGUUCCCUAAAAAAAUUUGAUUUUUUUCCCAUAGGAAUGCAUGGGUUAGGGUUAGGGUUAGGGUUGGAGCUAGGGUUAGGGUUAGGGUUAGGGUUGGAGUUAGGGUUAGUGUUGGAGCUAGGGUUAGGGUUGGGCUUGGAGCUAGGAUUUUUCUGAGUGCACUGAACCAACUCCCGAGUCUCUAGGACAUUCCUAAAAAAAUUUGAUUUUUUCCCAUAGGAAUGCAUGGGUUAGGGUUAGGGUUAGGGUUGGAGCUAGGGUUAGGGUUAGGGUUAGGGUUGGAGUUAGGGUUAGUGUUGGAGCUAGGGUUAGGGUUGGGCUUGGAGCUAGGAUUUUUCUGAGUGCACUGAACCAACUCCCGAGUCUCUAGGACAUUCCUAAAAAAAUUUGAUUUUUUUCCCAUAGGAAUGCAUGGGUUAGGGUUAGGGUUAGGGUUAGGGUUGGAGCUAGGGUUAGGGUUAGGGUUGGAGUUAGGGUUAGUGUUGGAGCUAGGGUUAGGGUUGGGCUUGGAGCUAGGAUUUUUCUGAGUGCAAUGAACCAACUCCCGAGUCUCUAGGACGUUCCUAAAAAAAUUUGAUUUUUUCCCAUAGGAAUGCAUGGGUUAGGGUUAUGGUUAGGGUUAGGGUUGGAGCUAGGGUUAGGGUUAGGGUUAGGGUUGGAGUUAGGGUUAGUGUUGGAGCUAGGGUUAGGGUUGGGCUUGGAGCUAGGAUUUUUCUGAGUGCACUGAACCAACUCCCGAGUCUCUAGGACAUUCCUAAAAAAAUUUGAUUUUUUCCCAUAGGAAUGCAUGGGUUAGGGUUAGGGUUAGGGUUGGAGCUAGGGUUAGGGUUAGGGUUAGGGUUGGAGUUAGGGUUAGUGUUGGAGCUAGGGUUAGGGUUGGGCUUGGAGCUAGGAUUUUUCUGAGUGCACUGAACCAACUCCCGAGUCUCUAGGACAUUCCUAAAAAAAUUUGAUUUUUUCCCAUAGGAAUGCAUGGGUUAGGGUUAGGGUUAGGGUUGGAGCUAGGGUUAGGGUUAGGGUUAGGGUUGGAGUUAGGGUUAGUGUUGGAGCUAGGGUUAGGGUUGGGCUUGGAGCUAGGAUUUUUCUGAGUGCACUGAACCAACUCCCGAGUCUCUAGGACAUUCCUAAAAAAAUUUGAUUUUUUCCCAUAGGAAUGCAUGGGUUAGGGUUAUGGUUAGGGUUAGGGUUGGAGCUAGGGUUAGGGUUAGGGUUAGGGUUGGAGUUAGGGUUAGUGUUGGAGCUAGGGUUAGGGUUGGGCUUGGAGCUAGGAUUUUUCUGAGUGCACUGAACCAACUCCCGAGUCUCUUGGACGUUCCUAAAAAAAAUUUGAUUUUUUCCCAUAGGAAUGCAUGGGUUAGGGUUAGGGUUAGGGUUGGAGCUAGGGUUAGGGUUAGGGUUAGGGUUGGAGUUAGGGUUAGUGUUGGAGCUAGGGUUAGGGUUGGGCUUGGAGCUAGGAUUUUUCUGAGUGCACUGAACCAACUCCCGAGUCUCUAGGACGUUCCUAAAAAAAUUUGAUUUUUUCCCAUAGGAAUGCAUGGUUGGGUUAGGGUUAGGGUUAGGGUUGGAGCUAGGGUUAGGGUUAGGGUUAGGGUUGGAGUUAGGGUUAGUGUUGGAGCUAGGGUUAGGGUUGGGCUUGGAGCUAGGAUUUUUCUGAGUGCACUGAACCAACUCCCGAGUCUCUAGGACAUUCCUAAAAAAAUUUGAUUUUUUCCCAUAGGAAUGCAUGGGUUAGGGUUAGGGUUAGGGUUGGAGCUAGGGUUAGGGUUAGGGUUAGGGUUGGAGUUAGGGUUAGUGUUGGAGCUAGGGUUAGGGUUGGGCUUGGAGCUAGGAUUUUUCUGAGUGCACUGAACCAACUCCCGAGUCUCUAGGACAUUCCUAAAAAAAUUUGAUUUUUUCCCAUAGGAAUGCAUGGGUUAGGGUUAUGGUUAGGGUUAGGGUUGGAGCUAGGGUUAGGGUUAGGGUUAGGGUUGGAGUUAGGGUUAGUGUUGGAGCUAGGGUUAGGGUUGGGCUUGGAGCUAGGAUUUUUCUGAGUGCACUGAACCAACUCCCGAGUCUCUAGGACAUUCCUAAAAAAAUUUGAUUUUUUCCCAUAGGAAUGCAUGGGUUAGGGUUAUGGUUAGGGUUAGGGUUGGAGCUAGGGUUAGGGUUAGGGUUAGGGUUAGGGUUAGGGUUGGAGUUAGGGUUAGUGUUGGAGCUAGGGUUAGGGUUGGGCUUGGAGCUAGGAUUUUUCUGAGUGCACUGAACCAACUCCCGAGUCUCUAGGACAUUCCUAAAAAUUUGAUUUUUUCCCAUAGGAAUGCAUGGGUUAGGGUUAUGGUUAGGGUUAGGGUUGGAGCUAGGGUUAGGGUUAGGGUUAGGGUUGGAGUUAGGGUUAGUGUUGGAGCUAGGGUUAGGGUUGGGCUUGGAGCUAGGACUUUUCUGAGUGCAAUGAACCAACUCCCGAGUCUCUAGGACGUUCCUAAAAAAAUUUGAUUUUUUUCCCAUAGGAAUGCAUGGGUUAGGGUUAGGGUUAGGGUUGGAGCUAGGGUUAGGGUUAGGGUUAGGGUUGGAGUUAGGGUUAGUGUUGGAGCUAGGGUUAGGGUUGGGCUUGGAGCUAGGAUUUUUCUGAGUGCACUGAACCAACUCCCGAGUCUCUAGGACAUUCCUAAAAAAAUUUGAUUUUUUCCCAUAGGAAUGCAUGGGUUAGGGUUAGGGUUAGGGUUGGAGCUAGGGUUAGGGUUAGGGUUAGGGUUGGAGUUAGGGUUAGUGUUGGAGCUAGGGUUAGGGUUGGGCUUGGAGCUAGGAUUUUUCUGAGUGCACUGAACCAACUCCCGAGUCUCUAGGACAUUCCUAAAAAAAUUUGAUUUUUUUCCCAUAGGAAUGCAUGGGUUAGGGUUAUGGUUAGGGUUAGGGUUGGAGCUAGGGUUAGGGUUAGGGUUAGGGUUGGAGUUAGGGUUAGUGUUGGAGCUAGGGUUAGGGUUGGGCUUGGAGCUAGGAUUUUUCUGAGUGCAAUGAACCAACUCCCGAGUCUCUUGGACGUUCCUAAAAAAAUUUGAUUUUUUCCCAUAGGAAUGCAUGGGUUAGGGUUAGGGUUAGGGUUGGAGCUAGGGUUAGGGUUAGGGUUAGGGUUGGAGUUAGGGUUAGUGUUGGAGCUAGGGUUAGGGUUGGGCUUGGAGCUAGGAUUUUUCUGAGUGCACUGAACCAACUCCCGAGUCUCUAGGACGUUCCUAAAAAAAUUUGAUUUUUUCCCAUAGGAAUGCAUGGGUUAGGGUUAGGGUUAGGGUUGGAGCUAGGGUUAGGGUUAGGGUUAGGGUUGGAGUUAGGGUUAGUGUUGGAGCUAGGGUUAGGGUUGGGCUUGGAGCUAGGAUUUUUCUGAGUGCACUGAACCAACUCCCGAGUCUCUAGGACAUUCCUAAAAAAAUUUGAUUUUUUCCCAUAGGAAUGCAUGGGUUAGGGUUAGGGUUAGGGUUGGAGCUAGGGUUAGGGUUAGGGUUAGGGUUGGAGUUAGGGUUAGUGUUGGAGCUAGGGUUAGGGUUGGGCUUGGAGCUAGGAUUUUUCUGAGUGCACUGAACCAACUCCCGAGUCUCUAGGACAUUCCUAAAAAAAUUUGAUUUUUUCCCAUAGGAAUGCAUGGGUUAGUUAUGGUUAGGGUUAGGGUUGGAGCUAGGGUUAGGGUUAGGGUUAGGGUUGGAGUUAGGGUUAGUGUUGGAGCUAGGGUUAGGGUUGGGCUUGGAGCUAGGAUUUUUCUGAGUGCACUGAACCAACUCCCGAGUCUCUAGGACAUUCCUAAAAAAAUUUGAUUUUUUCCCAUAGGAAUGCAUGGGUUAGGGUUAUGGUUAGGGUUAGGGUUGGAGCUAGGGUUAGGGUUAGGGUUAGGGUUGGAGUUAGGGUUAGUGUUGGAGCUAGGGUUAGGGUUGGGCUUGGAGCUAGGAUUUUUCUGAGUGCACUGAACCAACUCCCGAGUCUCUAGGACAUUCCUAAAAAAAUUUGAUUUUUUCCCAUAGGAAUGCAUGGGUUAGGGUUAGGGUUAGGGUUGGAGCUAGGGUUAGGGUUAGGGUUAGGGUUGGAGUUAGGGUUAGUGUUGGAGCUAGGGUUAGGGUUGGGCUUGGAGCUAGGAUUUUUCUGAGUGCAAUGAACCAACUCCCGAGUCUCUAGGACGUUCCUAAAAAAAUUUGAUUUUUUCCCAUAGGAAUGCAUGGGUUAGGGUUAGGGUUAGGGUUGGAGCUAGGGUUAGGGUUAGGGUUAGGGUUGGAGUUAGGGUUAGUGUUGGAGCUAGGGUUAGGGUUGGGCUUGGAGCUAGGAUUUUUCUGAGUGCACUGAACCAACUCCCGAGUCUCUAGGACAUUCCUAAAAAAAUUUGAUUUUUUCCCAUAGGAAUGCAUGGGUUAGGGUUAUGGUUAGGGUUAGGGUUGGAGCUAGGGUUAGGGUUAGGGUUAGGGUUGGAGUUAGGGUUAGUGUUGGAGCUAGGGUUAGGGUUGGGCUUGGAGCUAGGAUUUUUCUGAGUGCACUGAACCAACUCCCGAGUCUCUAGGACAUUCCUAAAAAAAUUUGAUUUUUUCCCAUAGGAAUGCAUGGGUUAGGGUUAUGGUUAGGGUUAGGGUUGGAGCUAGGGUUAGGGUUAGGGUUAGGGUUGGAGUUAGGGUUAGUGUUGGAGCUAGGGUUAGGGUUGGGCUUGGAGCUAGGAUUUUCUGAGUGCACUGAACCAACUCCCGAGUCUCUAGGACAUUCCUAAAAAAAUUUGAUUUUUUCCCAUAGGAAUGCAUGGGUUAGGGUUAUGGUUAGGGUUAGGGUUGGAGCUAGGGUUAGGGUUAGGGUUAGGGUUAGGGUUGGAGUUAGGGUUAGUGUUGGAGCUAGGGUUAGGGUUGGGCUUGGAGCUAGGAUUUUUCUGAGUGCACUGAACCAACUCCCGAGUCUCUAGGACAUUCCUAAAAAAAUUUGAUUUUUUUCCCAUAGGUAUGCAUGGGUUAGGGUUAGGGUUAGGGUUAGGGUUGGAGCUAGGGUUAGGGUUAGGGUUAGGGUUGGAGUUAGGGUUAGUGUUGGAGCUAGGGUUAGGGUUGGGCUUGGAGCUAGGAUUUUUCUGAGUGCAAUGAACCAACUCCCGAGUCUCUAGGACGUUCCUAAAAAAAUUUGAUUUUUUCCCAUAGGAAUGCAUGGGUUAGGGUUAGGGUUAGGGUUGGAGCUAGGGUUAGGGUUAGGGUUAGGGUUGGAGUUAGGGUUAGUGUUGGAGCUAGGGUUAGGGUUGGGCUUGGAGCUAGGAUUUUCUGAGUGCACUGAACCAACUCCCGAGUCUCUAGGACAUUCCUAAA
This 6737-nucleotide long non-coding RNA is filed under the name Xyrichtys novacula (pearly razorfish). The record is from RNAcentral. Lineage: Eukaryota; Metazoa; Chordata; Actinopteri; Labriformes; Labridae.